CAGUCGCCGCGGGAAAACGAAGGGUGCAAGCGUUACUCGGAAUUACUGGGUGUAAAGCGUGCGUAGGUGGUGGUUUAAGUCCGUUGUGAAAGCCCUGGGCUCAACCUGGGAAUUGCAGUGGAUACUGGGUCACUAGAGUGUGGUAGAGGAUAGUGGAAUUUCCGGUGUAGCAGUGAAAUGCGUAGAGAUCGGAAGGAACAUCUGUGGCGAAGGCGACUAUCUGGGCCAACACUGACACUGAGGCACGAAAGCGUGGGGAGCAAACAGGAUUAGAUACCCCAGUAGUCCCUGUCUCUUAUAC
RNAcentral lists this ribosomal RNA (301 nucleotides) under uncultured bacterium. RNAcentral's name for it is "partial 16S ribosomal RNA". It matches the Rfam family "Bacterial small subunit ribosomal RNA", at positions 509 to 807 of the family's 1533-position model. The record is from RNAcentral.